RNAcentral lists this ribosomal RNA (502 nucleotides) under uncultured bacterium. RNAcentral describes it as "partial 16S ribosomal RNA". It matches the Rfam family "Bacterial small subunit ribosomal RNA", at positions 28 to 507 of the family's 1533-position model. The record is from RNAcentral.
GACGAACGCUGGCGGCGUGCCUAAUACAUGCAAGUCGAACGAACCGCGACUAGGUGCUUGCACUUGGUCAAGGUGAGUGGCGAACGGGUGAGUAACACGUGGGUAACCUACCUCAUAGUGGGGGAUAACAGUCGGAAACGACUGCUAAUACCGCAUAGGACAUAGGAUCACAUGAUUCUGUGAGGAAAGGUGGCGCAAGCUAUCGCUAAGAGAUGGACCCGCGGUGCAUUAGCUAGUUGGUAGGGUAAAGGCCUACCAAGGCGAUGAUGCAUAGCCGACCUGAGAGGGUGAUCGGCCACAUUGGGACUGAGACACGGCCCAAACUCCUACGGGAGGCAGCAGUAGGGAAUCUUCCGCAAUGGACGCAAGUCUGACGGAGCAACGCCGCGUGAGUGAAGAAGGUCUUCGGAUCGUAAAGCUCUGUUGUUAGAGAAGAACAGCGCAUAGAGUAACUGUUAUGCGUGUGACGGUAGCUAAACAGAAAGCCACGGCUAACUACGUG